RNAcentral lists this ribosomal RNA (439 nucleotides) under uncultured bacterium. RNAcentral's name for it is "partial 16S ribosomal RNA". It matches the Rfam family "Bacterial small subunit ribosomal RNA", at positions 339 to 795 of the family's 1533-position model. The record is from RNAcentral.
CUACGGGAUGCUCCAGUGAGGAAUAUUGCACAAUGGGGGGAACCCUGAUGCAGCAACGCCGCGUGGAGGAUGACGCAUUUCGGUGUGUAAACUCCUUUUAUGAGUCAAGAAAAUGACGGUAGCUCAUGAAUAAGCACCGGCUAACUCCGUGCCAGCAGCCGCGGUAAUACGGAGGGUGCAAGCGUUACUCGGAAUCACUGGGCGUAAAGGACGCGUAGGCGGGUUGUCAAGUCAGGUGUGAAAUCCUACAGCUUAACUGUAGAACUGCACUUGAAACUGGCAGCCUAGAGUAUGGGAGGGGGAGAUGGAAUUAGUGGUGUAGGGGUAAAAUCCGUAGAUAUCACUAGGAAUACCUAAAGCGAAGGCGAUCUCCUGGAACAUUACUGACGCUAAGGCGUGAAAGCGUGGGGAGCAAACAGGAUUAGAUACCCGAGUAGUC